This 259-nucleotide long non-coding RNA is filed under the name Lathyrus oleraceus (garden pea). RNAcentral's name for it is "Pisum sativum (pea) long non-coding RNA (PSAT_LNC009041)". The record is from RNAcentral. Lineage: Eukaryota; Viridiplantae; Streptophyta; Magnoliopsida; Fabales; Fabaceae.
CAAUUUGUGUCACACAUUUGGUUGAUCAACUUGUACCAUUUAAUUUCCAUGCCAAAUGAUCUUUGAUGAUCAUGUUGGAUGUGUUGAAUGCUCAUGAUUUUUUCCAGAAUUAUUUGAAUCAUUUCUGUUUUGAUUUGGAAUUUUCAUUCAUGAUGAUCAUAUGUGAGAUUUGAAAUUGUCUUUGACUUAUUUUGAUCAUGAAAUGAAUUGCUUGAUGAUUUUGAUGUGAUCCUUUUUAGGACAUUUUAAUAUGUGUUUG